This 61-nucleotide transfer RNA is filed under the name Alectorobius rioplatensis. RNAcentral describes it as "tRNA-Leu". Lineage: Eukaryota; Metazoa; Arthropoda; Arachnida; Ixodida; Argasidae. The record is from RNAcentral.
UCUAUUUUGGCAGACUAAUUGUGUCAAAUUUAGAAUUUGAAUAUGAUGUAAUCAAAUAGAA